UGGGGAAUUUUGGACAAUGGGCGCAAGCCUGAUCCAGCCAUGCCGCGUGUCUGAAGAAGGCCUUCGGGUUGUAAAGGACUUUUGUCAGGGAAGAAAAGGCUGUUGCUAAUAUCAGCGGCUGAUGACGGUACCUGAAGAAUAAGCACCGGCUAACUACGUGCCAGCAGCCGCGGUAAUACGUAGGGUGCAAGCGUUAAUCGGAAUUACUGGGCGUAAAGCGAGCGCAGACGGUUACUUAAGCAGGAUGUGAAAUCCCCGGGCUCAACCUGGGAACUGCGUUCUGAACUGGGUGACUAGAGUGUGUCAGAGGGAGGUAGAAUUCCACGUGUAGCAGUGAAAUGCGUAGAGAUGUGGAGGAAUACCGAUGGCGAAGGCAGCCUCCUGGGAUAACACUGACGUUCAUGCUCGAAAGCGUGGGUAGCAAACAGGAUUAGAUACCCUGGUAGUCCACGCCCUAAACGAUGUCAAUUAGCUGUUGGGCAACUUGAUUGUUCAGUAGCGUAGCUNACGCGUGAAAUUGACCGCCUGGGGAGUACGGUCGCAAGAUUA
Molecule: ribosomal RNA, 549 nt
Filed under: uncultured bacterium
Lineage: Bacteria
Description: bacterial SSU rRNA
Rfam family: Bacterial small subunit ribosomal RNA
Source: RNAcentral